UUCCGGUUGAUCCUGCCGGAGGCGACCGCUAUUGGAGUUCGAUUAAGCCAUGCGAGUAGAAAGAAAUUAGAUUCUUUGCAUACUGCUCAGUAACACGUGGAUAACCUGCCCUACACUGGGGGAUAAUCUUGGGAAACUGAGGAUAAUACCCCAUAGACCACUACGCCUGGAACGGUGAGUGGUUGAAAGCUCCGGCGGUGUAGGAUGGGUCUGCGGCGUAUCAGGUCGUAGGGGGUGUAACGGACCUCCUAGCCAUCGACGCGUACGGGUUGUGGGAGCAAUAGCCCGGAGACGGAUUCUGAGACACGAAUCCGGACCCUACGGGGUGCAGCAGGCGCGAAAACUUCACACUGCAGGAAACUGUGAUGAGGGAACUCCAAGUGCAUGCACAAUGUGUAUGCUUUUCUUGAAUCUUAAUAGUUCUUGGAAUAAGGGCUGGGAAAGACCGGUGCCAGCCGCCGCGGUAAUACCGGCAGCUCAAGUGGUCGUCGUUCUUAUUGGGCCUAAAACGU
This 512-nucleotide ribosomal RNA is filed under the name uncultured archaeon. RNAcentral describes it as "bacterial SSU rRNA". It matches the Rfam family "Archaeal small subunit ribosomal RNA", at positions 1 to 518 of the family's 1478-position model. The record is from RNAcentral.